RNAcentral lists this ribosomal RNA (305 nucleotides) under uncultured bacterium. RNAcentral's name for it is "bacterial SSU rRNA". It matches the Rfam family "Bacterial small subunit ribosomal RNA", at positions 334 to 656 of the family's 1533-position model. The record is from RNAcentral.
GUUACCUACGGGACGCAGCAGUGGGGGAUAUUGCACAAUGGGGGAAACCCUGAUGCAGCGACGCCGCGUGGGUGAAGAAGCGCCUCGGCGCGUAAAGCCCUGUCAGCAGGGAAGAAAAUGACGGUACCUGAAGAAGAAGCCCCGGCUAACUAAGUGCCAGCAGCCGCGGUAAUACGUAGGGGGCAAGCGUUAUCCGGAUUUACUGGGAGUAAAGGGGGCGCAGACGGCGAUGCAAGCCAGGAGUGAAAGCCCGGGGCCAAACCCCGGGACUGCUCUUGGACCUGCGUGGCUAGAGUGCUGGAGGG